Molecule: long non-coding RNA, 1684 nt
Filed under: Lepeophtheirus salmonis (salmon louse)
Lineage: Eukaryota; Metazoa; Arthropoda; Copepoda; Siphonostomatoida; Caligidae
Description: uncharacterized LOC121120931
Source: RNAcentral
ACUUGAGGCUUCUUUUCAGGAAAUAGAUAUUACAGCGCAGAGGCAGUUGUAUGGCUCAAUAGUUGUGUUGCUUGAUAAACACGCUGUCUUUGACUAUUUUGGCAUUCUAAAUGAAUAUCUUCAAAUUUUUCCGAACCUUGCUACUAGAAGUCCUUCCGUAGUUAGACAUGAGCUGGGCCUUUAGAUUUCUCUGAAAGCAGUCUUCUUCAAAAUGUCUAGAACAAACUCUGGCAGUUUCGGGAUUGAAUGGGUCUUGUCUAUGACAAUCUUGGAUCAAUUUUGCACGAAUGUCCUUGGCUUUGGGAAAUCUAUGGUAAGAAUAACCUUCACUGGAGUUUCUUAUGAGGGGAGUAGCAGACUGACACAGCAGAAGGUAAAACAUUUCUCUUCCGAGUGUUCAUUUUGAAAUUAUUGGGAAAAUUGUAGAGGCUAUACUUUUAAAGUAAAUAACGAUAAUAUAAAUAUUAAUUAUAUUUUGAAAUUGUUCAUCUGUUAUCAAUCAUUUUAAAUCCAAUGACGUCCGAUGCCACUUGCUAAUUUCAAUAACAAAUCAAAAACAUUUCAGAAGAAAAUACCUCAUUAUAUAUACCUUGGUCUAACUUAAAAAAAAUAUUUUGUUUCCCACAUCGUAAUAUGGAACAAAGAGAACUCUGGAUCAAGGCUAUUAAAAGUGUGAAUGAGGAUGAAACUAUGUGGAAGGCUCAUUAUUGGAGUCAUGUAUGUUUCGAACAAUUUAAUAUCGGUGCCUUACUAUUUUCCGACAAUAUUUCCAACGUCCCAUGUCAAUCCCAGAACCUUUAGUGAUAAAGAGCGUCAGGGCCGUUUCCUGAAACGAUGUGAAAGGAAGAAGAAACUGGAAGUACUAAUAAGUAAAGUUGACUCAAGUGUACGUGUAUUUGACACAGUAACAAAUAUAAUGAGUAUUUGACACUGAGAUCCUCAAGAACUACGCAAACUGUUGACGAAUUUGAAUUUAUUUCUCAUUUAUCCAUUUUUUUUCUCGCACUUUGAUGGUAAAAAUGUAUCGUGCUAGUUCAGCGCCCCUCCCAUCACUUCCGAAAUGACAACAACUAUGGACAAGGUUCACUACAAAAAUAAGGGAACUUUGGUGGAUAUUAAAACAGAAGAAGAAUUUAGUGACAAACGAAGACUUUAAAACAUGCUGUCGAGUAGAAAAGUGGUUUUUCGAUUUUUUACUGUUUCAAUUUGAGUCAAAAUUAGCCUUCCACUAAUUGAUCGCCUCCUUCUCUUUUUUAUUAAACUUAAGUAUAACAUGUCGUUUACAUUCUUGGCAGCUAUGUUUAAUAUUUAUAGGAUAACCGUUUCAAUAAUUUUUUCUACAAUGCUUGAUGAAUUUUUUUUUAAUCGAGAAAAAAUGGAUAUUUUGACUGCCAGCAGAAAAAAUUCGGACUACUAUGCCACAGCAAUUUAAAGAAAAUUAUCAAAAUACUACCGUAAUUAUUGAUGGACGUGAAAUCAAAAUUGAGACUCCGACAAAUUUAGACACUUUUUUUCUCACAUAUUCAAACUACAAAAGCUCUCAUACACUAAAUUUUUGAAUUGGAACUGUCUCUUCUGUCAUUGGAAAAAGUAGAAAAUGAUCCUGGAGUAUGAAUUUAAUGUGGUCCUCUUUUGUAGAUAUCUUUAUCAGCAAAGCCGUAAAAUAUAUUUAACUCUCCUAUUA